Molecule: ribosomal RNA, 568 nt
Filed under: Colletotrichum viniferum
Lineage: Eukaryota; Fungi; Ascomycota; Sordariomycetes; Glomerellales; Glomerellaceae
Description: eukaryotic LSU rRNA
Rfam family: 5.8S ribosomal RNA (bases 243-396)
Source: RNAcentral
UUCUUGGUCAUUUAGAGGAAGUAAAAGUCGUAACAAGGUCUCCGUUGGUGAACCAGCGGAGGGAUCAUUACUGAGUUUACGCUCUAUAACCCUUUGUGAACAUACCUAUAACUGUUGCUUCGGCGGGUAGGGUCUCCGCGACCCUCCCGGCCUCCCGCCUCCGGGCGGGUCGGCGCCCGCCGGAGGAUAACCAAACUCUGAUUUAACGACGUUUCUUCUGAGUGGUACAAGCAAAUAAUCAAAACUUUUAACAACGGAUCUCUUGGUUCUGGCAUCGAUGAAGAACGCAGCGAAAUGCGAUAAGUAAUGUGAAUUGCAGAAUUCAGUGAAUCAUCGAAUCUUUGAACGCACAUUGCGCCCGCCAGCAUUCUGGCGGGCAUGCCUGUUCGAGCGUCAUUUCAACCCUCAAGCUCUGCUUGGUGUUGGGGCCCUACAGCUGAUGUAGGCCCUCAAAGGUAGUGGCGGACCCUCCCGGAGCCUCCUUUGCGUAGUAACUUUACGUCUCGCACUGGGAUCCGGAGGGACUCUUGCCGUAAAACCCCCCAANUUCCAAAGGUGACCUCGGAUC